UACGUAGGGGGCAAGCGUUGUCCGGAUUUAUUGGGCGUAAAGAGCGUGUAGGCGGCCAUGCAGGUCAGCUGUGAAAACUCGAGGCUCAACCUCGAGCUGUCGGUGGAAACCGUAAGGCUAGAGUCCGGAAGAGGAGAGUGGAAUUCCUGGUGUAGCGGUGAAAUGCGCAGAUAUCAGGAAGAACACCCGUGGCGAAGGCGGCUCUCUGGGACGGUACUGACGCUGAGACGCGAAAGCGUGGGGAGCGAACAGG
Molecule: ribosomal RNA, 253 nt
Filed under: uncultured bacterium
Lineage: Bacteria
Description: partial 16S ribosomal RNA
Rfam family: Bacterial small subunit ribosomal RNA
Source: RNAcentral